This 497-nucleotide ribosomal RNA is filed under the name uncultured bacterium. RNAcentral's name for it is "partial 16S ribosomal RNA". It matches the Rfam family "Bacterial small subunit ribosomal RNA", at positions 28 to 507 of the family's 1533-position model. The record is from RNAcentral.
GAUGAACGCUGGCGGCGUGCCUAAUACAUGCAAGUCGAGCGAACAGACGAGGAGCUUGCUCCUUUGACGUUAGCGGCGGACGGGUGAGUAACACGUGGGUAACCUACCUAUAAGACUGGGAUAACUUCGGGAAACCGGAGCUAAUACCGGAUAAUAUUUCGAACCGCAUGGUUCGAUAGUGAAAGAUGGCUUUGCUAUCACUUAUAGAUGGACCUGCGCCGUAUUAGCUAGUUGGUAAGGUAACGGCUUACCAAGGCAACGAUACGUAGCCGACCUGAGAGGGUGAUCGGCCACACUGGAACUGAGACACGGUCCAGACUCCUACGGGAGGCAGCAGUAGGGAAUCUUCCGCAAUGGGCGAAAGCCUGACGGAGCAACGCCGCGUGAGUGAUGAAGGUCUUCGGAUCGUAAAACUCUGUUAUUAGGGAAGAACAAACGUGUAAGUAACUGUGCACGUCUUGACGGUACCUAAUCAGAAAGCCACGGCUAACUAUGUG